Molecule: long non-coding RNA, 894 nt
Organism: Schistocerca nitens (vagrant locust)
Lineage: Eukaryota; Metazoa; Arthropoda; Insecta; Orthoptera; Acrididae
Exons: 3
Source: RefSeq, a predicted model, not a curated record
ACAGCAGCAGACGGCUGUAGAGUUUAGUAGUUCGUGUCAUGCGUUCGUACGGUAUUGUGUUGCGUUUUCUGUGUAAUGUGUAAGUGAUUUGAUGGUGGAGACAGGAAAUCACGGAAAGACAGAUAUUGAGUGUGUGGCUUAGGAGGGCAAUCAUGGACUGCAAGGGGACUAGUUGGGUGAAAAAAGAGAAGAAUGAAAUAUAUGCUGAACCAGAAUCCUUGUUUCUUGAAGAUCCGCUAAAGAUUGUAACACCUAGUCUUCAUAUAAAGCAAGACCUAGAACUGAAACAGGAGGAUGGCAUUGAACAUGAUGUAAGUUUUCACAUCAGUGAUGUAUUGUGCAUGAAGUACUGUAUGAAUAUCAUGAGAUGCAUUGGGUACAGUAUAUUUUAGUGAUCAUAAAUGAUGAAACAUUAAAACCUAGGAUAUUAGCACUCCCCCAGAAUGUUUAGAGAAUUUCAAUUGACUGUAGGUAUAUUGUUCUGUUGUGUAAUGGUAUUUGAAUGAAACUUGCAGGAAACAUAUGUUUAUUAACUGUAACCCAUGGUAAUUUUGUUGUACAUGUAAAUAAUGAAUGCCUCAAGUUCAUUCUUGGAACAAAUGUACCAAAGAUGACUUCCUUGCAGCAGCUGUCAAUUUAUUUGUGUCUGACAGAGUUCUAUAAUAGAAAAGAUGUAAGAGGUAAAGCAAUCAACUGUAAGCGGUAUGUUAUCAGAUAAGUAUUGUAUUUGUCAUACUAUUUCUUUUCGCUGAAGUAUUUAAUGAAAAACAAACUGCAUUACUGGAAUUGUUUGCUCUGUGUAAAGACAAUGGGUUUAUCCAGUAUGCAUGGCAUAAAUUUACAGUGUAUUGGAACAUUGCGUAUCCCAAACUACUUGCAAAGAGAAAACAUUGU